AACGCGAAGAACCUUACCUGGAUUUGACAUCCUCUGACAGCUGUAGAGAUACAGUCUUGAGGGCAACCUCACAGAGAGACAGGUGCUGCAUGGCUGUCGUCAGCUCGUGUGGUGACAUGUUGGGUUAAGUCCCGCAACGAGCGCAACCCUUGUCCUUAGUUGCCAGCAUUAAGUUGGGCUCUCUAAGGAGACUGCCGUGGUUAACACGGAGGAAGGUGGGGAUGACGUCAAGUCCUCAUGGCCUUUAUAUCCAGGGCGACACACGUGAUACAAUGGACGGUACAGAGGGACGCCAAGAGGCAACUCGGAGCUAAUCUCAAAAAACCGUUCUCAGUUCGGAUUGGAGUCUGCAACUCGACUCCAUGAAGCUGGAAUCGCUAGUAAUCGCGGAUCAGCACGCCGCGGUGAAUACGUUCCCGGGCCUUGUACACACCGAUAGC
This 440-nucleotide ribosomal RNA is filed under the name uncultured bacterium. RNAcentral describes it as "bacterial SSU rRNA". It matches the Rfam family "Bacterial small subunit ribosomal RNA", at positions 958 to 1397 of the family's 1533-position model. The record is from RNAcentral.